GCAAAAUAAUGAUACUCUAUUUUCCCUUCACAUCCGAUAUGUGGCCACAUGGUGGGCUCAGAUGGCCGGUGAAGGCUCCAGGGGGUCUCCAGCGCCCAGAGCCUCAGGUGCUCAGUGGAAAAAUACGGUUGCCAUCAGGAUGCUUGUUGAGUUUGUGCUGGUUUUCCCUAAAUUGCAUAAGCUUCGGGCCCCAAGAAAACUGGA
Myotis brandtii (Brandt's bat) is the source of this 204-nucleotide long non-coding RNA. RefSeq lists it as uncharacterized. NCBI's taxonomy places the organism in Eukaryota, Metazoa, Chordata, Mammalia, Chiroptera, Vespertilionidae. The record is from RefSeq and is a predicted model, not a curated record. The transcript has 3 exons.